This 261-nucleotide ribosomal RNA is filed under the name uncultured bacterium. Its description in RNAcentral is "partial 16S ribosomal RNA". It matches the Rfam family "Bacterial small subunit ribosomal RNA", at positions 334 to 611 of the family's 1533-position model. The record is from RNAcentral.
CGUUCCUACGGGACGCAGCAGGGGGGAAUAUUGCACAAUGGGGGAAACCCUGAUGCAGCGACGCCGCGUGAGUGAAGAAGUAUUUCGGUAUGUAAAGCUCUCUCAGCAGGGAAGAAAAAAGACGGUACCUGACUAAGAAGCCCCGGCUAACUACGUGCCAGCAGCCGCGGUAAUACGUAGGGGGCAAGCGUUAUCCGGAUUUACUGUGUGUAAAGGGAGCGUAGACGGCGCGGCAAGUCUGAAGUGAAAGGCAGGGGCUUA